AGGGCACCACCAGGAGUGGAGCCUGCGGCUUAAUUUGACUCAACACGGGAAAUCUCACCAGGCCCGGACACCGGAAGGAUUGACAGAUUGAGAGCUCUUUCUUGAUUCGGUGGGUGGUGGUGCAUGGCCGUUCUUAGUUGGUGGAGCGAUUUGUCUGGUUAAUUCCGAUAACGAACGAGACUCUGGCCUACUAACUAGACGUCGGAUCCCUUUGUGGGUCCGUCGCAGCUUCUUAGAGGGACGGGCGGCGUUUAGCCGCACGAGAUUGAGCAAUAACAGGUCUGUGAUGCCCUUAGAUGUGGGGGGCCGCACCCCCGCUACACUGGAGGUAUCAUGCUGUGUUCCCUAUUUGGAAGGACUGGGUAACCCGUUGAAACACCUUCUGAAUGGGAAGGGGAGAUGCGAUUAUUUCUCUUGAACGAGGAAUUCCUUCUAAGUGCGGGUCAUCAACUAGCGCUGAUUGAUUACGUCCCUUUGUAUACAACGACCGUCGCUCUCUCUACUGGAUGUAAAGCUGAG
This 519-nucleotide ribosomal RNA is filed under the name uncultured eukaryote. RNAcentral's name for it is "bacterial SSU rRNA". It matches the Rfam family "Eukaryotic small subunit ribosomal RNA", at positions 1161 to 1705 of the family's 1831-position model. The record is from RNAcentral.